Molecule: ribosomal RNA, 593 nt
Filed under: uncultured fungus
Lineage: Eukaryota; Fungi
Description: eukaryotic LSU rRNA
Rfam family: Eukaryotic large subunit ribosomal RNA
Source: RNAcentral
AUAUCAAUAAGCGGAGGAAAAGAAACCAACAGGGAUUGCCUCAGUAACGGCGAGUGAAGCGGCAACAGCUCAAAUUUGAAAUCUGGCUCUUUUAGGGUCCGAGUUGUAAUUUGUAGAAGAUGCUUUGGGUGUGGCUCCGGUCUAAGUUCCUUGGAACAGGACGUCAUAGAGGGUGAGAAUCCCGUACGUGACUGGGUGCCUUCGCUCGUGUAAAGCUCUUUCGACGAGUCGAGUUGUUUGGGAAUGCAGCUCAAAAUGGGUGGUAAAUUUCAUCUAAAGCUAAAUAUUGGCCAGAGACCGAUAGCGCACAAGUAGAGUGAUCGAAAGAUGAAAAGCACUUUGGAAAGAGAGUUAAACAGUACGUGAAAUUGUUGAAAGGGAAGCGCUUGCAACCAGACUUGCGGGCGGUUGAUCAUCCGAGCUUUUGCCCGGUGCACUCGAUCGUUCUCAGGCCAGCAUCGGUUUUGGUGGGCGGAUAAAGGCCUUGGGAAUGUAGCUUCUUUCGGGGAGUGUUAUAGCCCUCGGUGCAAUGCGCCCUACCGGGACCGAGGACCGCGCUUCGGCUAGGAUGCUGGCGUAAUGGUUGUAAGCGA